Long non-coding RNA from Parus major (Great Tit), 661 nucleotides. RefSeq lists it as uncharacterized. The transcript has 3 exons. The record is from RefSeq and is a predicted model, not a curated record. Lineage: Eukaryota; Metazoa; Chordata; Aves; Passeriformes; Paridae.
UGACUUCUUCACUAAUACCACAUUUCAAGGUCGACCAUGCAUCCGACAACUUCAUGGGCUCCAGUGGAGCUGCAUUUCUUGUUCCAAGAUUGAUUGCACCUUGUCAACUGCUCCUUUUGCCACAAUAUGAGAUCCAUAUAAACACCAAUUCCCAGAGUAAGCUGCUAUGAGGUUUUCAAUGGGCUUGAUGGAAAACUGUGGAAGAGAAACCUAGCCAGGGCCUACAAUUACUCUUGUAACAAACACCAAGUUUAAUGAAAGAGAUGCAAUGGCUUAUGAAACAAGAAAGAAAGCUUGCACGAGGUUGAAAACAACAUAUCUACAGUUUGCAUAAUAAAUAUGCCUAAAACAGUGCUAUUUUCAGAGAAAGACUUCCUUGGGUUAAAGCUGAACCACAGAUAAGCCCAGUCUACAAAAAAACUCCUCACACUGGCAUAUUUUACUGGGAUAGUUUCAGCCACUGGCAGCAGUUCAGCUCUGAUAAGUUUUUUCAGUAGUUUACACCUUUCACUAUAUAAUUACAAUUUAUAACCAUAAAUGUUUGCCUUCACAGGUUUAUUCAUUUCUAAAGACUUUUACAGGUUCACAGGAUUUAAUGUUCUGAGCUGAAACUUUAUGAUUUGACUAUUUUAAUGAAAUUAUUAAAAUAUUCUCAAAUUUA